AAAAAGAUAAACUCUAGUUUCCGUUUCCAACGUUUGACCGUCCGUCUUAUUUGAAAAAAUUAUAAAAAAAAUUAAAAAGACAAGUCACGCAUAAAGUACUAAUUAUGUUUUAUCAUCUAACAACAAUGAAAAUACUAAUUAUAAAAAAAUUUAUAUAAGACGGAUAGUUAAACGUUGGACACGGAAAACUAGGGUUUGUCUUUUU
RNAcentral lists this microRNA precursor (205 nucleotides) under Oryza barthii. Its description in RNAcentral is "MIR812 microRNA precursor family". It matches the Rfam family "MIR812 microRNA precursor family". Lineage: Eukaryota; Viridiplantae; Streptophyta; Magnoliopsida; Poales; Poaceae. The record is from Rfam by way of RNAcentral.